GGUGAACGCUGGCGGCGUGCCUAACGCAUGCAAGUCGAUCGGAGCAGCAAUGCUUAGAGGCGAACGGGUGAGGAAAACGUAGUAACCAACCCUUUAGACUGGGAUAGCCACUGGAAACGGUGGGUAAUACCGGAUAAGCUCGAGAGAGGAAAGGCAGAGAAGCGCUAAGGACGGACUGCGCCCAUCAGAUAGUUGGUGAGGUAAAGGCUUACCAAGUCAAAGACGGGAAACCGACGUGAGAGCGUGUACGGUCACAAGGGCACUGAGAGACGGGCCCUACUCCUACGGGAGGCAGCAGUGGGGAAUAUUGGACAAUGGACGAAAGUCUGAUCCAGCGACGCCGCGUGGAGGAAGAAGUCCUUCGGGAUGUAAACUCAUGAAGCUAACGAAUAAGACGGAAGGGGAACCUUCCGGGAGAAGGUAAUUAGUGAAAAGCCCCGGCUAACUACGUG
Molecule: ribosomal RNA, 452 nt
Filed under: uncultured bacterium
Lineage: Bacteria
Description: bacterial SSU rRNA
Rfam family: Bacterial small subunit ribosomal RNA
Source: RNAcentral